UGGGGAAUAUUGCACAAUGGGCGAAAGCCUGAUGCAGCAACGCCGCGUGAGUGAUGAAGGCCUUCGGGUUGUAAAGCUCUGUCUUUUGGGACGAUAAUGACGGUACCAAAGGAGGAAGCCACGGCUAACUACGUGCCAGCAGCCGCGGUAAUACGUAGGUGGCAAGCGUUGUCCGGAUUUACUGGGCGUAAAGGAUGCGUAGGCGGAUUUUUAAGUGAGAUGUGAAAACCCUAAGCUUAACUUGGGGACUGCAUUUCAUACUGGAAAUCUAGAGUGCGGGAGAGGAGAAUGGAAUUCCUAGUGUAGCGGUGAAAUGCGUAGAGAUUAGGAAGAACACCAGUGGCGAAGGCGAUUCUCUGGACCGUAACUGACACUGAGGCAUGAAAGCGUGGGUAGCAAACAGGAUUAGAUACCCUGGUAGUCCACGCCGUAAACGAUGAGUACUAGGUGUAGGAGGUAUCGACCCCUUCUGUGCCGCAGUUAACACAAUAAGUACUCCGCCUGGGAAGUACGAUCGCAAGAUUAAAACUCAAAGGAAUUGACGGGGUCAUAGCU
RNAcentral lists this ribosomal RNA (555 nucleotides) under uncultured bacterium. Its description in RNAcentral is "partial 16S ribosomal RNA". It matches the Rfam family "Bacterial small subunit ribosomal RNA", at positions 355 to 926 of the family's 1533-position model. The record is from RNAcentral.